UGGGGAAUAUUGGACAAUGGGCGAAAGCCUGAUCCAGCAAUGCCGCGUGAGUGAUGAAGGCCUUAGGGUUGUAAAGCUCUUUUACCCGGGAUGAUAAUGACAGUACCGGGAGAAUAAGCUCCGGCUAACUCCGUGCCAGCAGCCGCGGUAAUACGGAGGGAGCUAGCGUUACCCGGAUUUACUGGGUGUAAAGGGCGUGUAGGCGGUCUUUCAAGUCCGAUGCUAAAGUCCAAGGCUCAACCUCGGGAA
RNAcentral lists this ribosomal RNA (249 nucleotides) under uncultured Sphingomonadaceae bacterium. Its description in RNAcentral is "partial 16S ribosomal RNA". It matches the Rfam family "Bacterial small subunit ribosomal RNA", at positions 355 to 621 of the family's 1533-position model. Lineage: Bacteria; Pseudomonadati; Pseudomonadota; Alphaproteobacteria; Sphingomonadales; Sphingomonadaceae. The record is from RNAcentral.